Molecule: ribosomal RNA, 389 nt
Filed under: uncultured bacterium
Lineage: Bacteria
Description: bacterial SSU rRNA
Rfam family: Bacterial small subunit ribosomal RNA
Source: RNAcentral
GACGAACGCUGGCGGCGUGCUUAACACAUGCAAGUCGAGCGGUAAGGCCCUUUCGGGGGUACGACGAGCGGCGAACGGGUGAGUAACACGUGGGUGACCUGCCUUUAGCUCUGGGAUAAGCCUGGGAAACUGGGUCUAAUACCGGAUACGACUCCGCGGUGCAUGCUGUGGGGUGGAAAGCCUUGUGCGGCUGGAGAUGGGCCCGCGGCCUAUCAGCUUGUUGGUGGGGUGAUGGCCUACCAAGGCGACGACGGGUAGCCGGCCUGAGAGGGCGACCGGCCACACUGGGACUGAGAUACGGCCCAGACUCCUACGGGAGGCAGCAGUGGGGAAGUCUUGCGCAAUGGCGAAAGCCUGACGCAGCGACGCCGCGUGAGGGAUGACGGCCU